UACGUAGGGGGCAAGCGUUGUCCGGAAUCAUUGGGCGUAAAGCGCACGUAGGCGGCUUAGCAAGUCGGAAGUGAAAUCCCACGGCUCAACCAUGGAAGUGCUUUCGAAACUGCUGAGCUUGAGUACAAAAGAGGAUCGCGGAAUUCCCGGUGUAGAGGUGAAAUUCGUAGAUAUCGGGAGGAACACCAGUGGCGAAGGCGGCGAUCUGGGUUGAUACUGACGCUGAGGUGCGAAAGCGUGGGGAGCAAACAGG
This 253-nucleotide ribosomal RNA is filed under the name uncultured bacterium. RNAcentral describes it as "partial 16S ribosomal RNA". It matches the Rfam family "Bacterial small subunit ribosomal RNA", at positions 524 to 776 of the family's 1533-position model. The record is from RNAcentral.